Molecule: ribosomal RNA, 301 nt
Filed under: uncultured bacterium
Lineage: Bacteria
Description: partial 16S ribosomal RNA
Rfam family: Bacterial small subunit ribosomal RNA
Source: RNAcentral
CAGUAGCCGCGGGAACACGGGGGGUGCAAGCGUUACCCGGAUUUACUGGGCGUAAAGGGCGUGUAGGCGGCCUGGGGCGUCCCAUGUGAAAGGCCACGGCUCAACCGUGGAGGAGCGUGGGAUACGCUCAGGCUAGAGGGUGGGAGAGGGUGGUGGAAUUCCCGGAGUAGCGGUGAAAUGCGCAGAUACCGGGAGGAACGCCGAUGGCGAAGGCAGCCACCUGGUCCACUUCUGACGCUGAGGCGCGAAAGCGUGGGGAGCAAACCGGAUUAGAUACCCCUGUAGUCCCUGUCUCUUAUAC